RNAcentral lists this ribosomal RNA (253 nucleotides) under uncultured bacterium. RNAcentral describes it as "partial 16S ribosomal RNA". It matches the Rfam family "Bacterial small subunit ribosomal RNA", at positions 524 to 776 of the family's 1533-position model. The record is from RNAcentral.
UACGAAGGGUGCAAGCGUUACUCGGAAUUACUGGGCGUAAAGGGUCUGUAGGUGGCUUGCUAAGUCAGACGUGAAAUCCCUCAGCUUAACUGGGGAACUGCGUCUGAGACUGGCGAGCUUGAGGGCAGGAGAGGAACGCGGAAUUCCAGGUGUAGCGGUGAAAUGCGUAGAGAUGUGGAGGAACACCGAUGGCGAAGGCAGCCCCCUGGGCUGAGAUUGACGCUCAGGCACGAAAGCGUGGGGAGCAAACAGG